GGGCGCAUAGCUCAGUUGGCUAGAGCGCAGCUGUCACAUAGCUGAGGUCACAGGUUCGAAUCCUGUUGCGCCCA
Molecule: transfer RNA, 74 nt
Filed under: Phycisphaeraceae bacterium
Lineage: Bacteria; Pseudomonadati; Planctomycetota; Phycisphaerae; Phycisphaerales; Phycisphaeraceae
Description: tRNA-Val
Rfam family: tRNA
About the family: Transfer RNA (tRNA) molecules are approximately 80 nucleotides in length. Their secondary structure includes four short double-helical elements and three loops (D, anti-codon, and T loops).
Source: RNAcentral